This 1517-nucleotide long non-coding RNA is filed under the name Erythranthe guttata (spotted monkey flower). RNAcentral describes it as "long non-coding RNA (EGUT_LNC001542)". The record is from RNAcentral. Lineage: Eukaryota; Viridiplantae; Streptophyta; Magnoliopsida; Lamiales; Phrymaceae.
UUCGACCAAAAAAAAUAACUCUCAAUAAUAUAUAAUUGUCUGACAAAAUGCAACAUAUGAAUAAAGUGUUUGUAGUCUACAAAUUGAAUAGAAUAACCGGUCUAAAAAUAUUAUGCAAAUAUUUUCCAUCGACUUCGAAAAACAUAUACUACAACAGAUCAGACUAUUCAAUAACAUCGUUCUCCAAAAGCUUGAGAAGUUGUUCCACUUUAUUCUGCAUUAACAUUAAUCAAAUGUUAAAACCAGUUUAAUAGGUAAACAUAUUAUAAUCAAACUAACAUGAAGUAUAUAAAUAGUUAUAAACUAAUAAAUGCAGGGGCUCUUAAGUACAUAUCUCAUUGAAUAGUAGAGGAAUUUGUUUUCUUAAGGUGAAAAGACCUAAACAUGAUUUAUAGACCAAACAAACAAAAAAAAAUUCCACUCACAUCUCCAGUACACAUUCCAAUAGCUUAGAAAAGUGCAUUUCACUAGUGUGAUGAAAUUAUUAUCAGGCAAAGCAACAAAUAAACAAAGGAAAUAGGUAGAUAAAACAUACAAAUAAAGUAAUAAAAAAUAUUUCAGCUGACAUCUCGAGUACUCAUAUUCAAAUAGUCUGGAUAAAAUGUGUUUCACAUAAGGCCACUUCUCUAGACAAAUAGAUGAUGUCAAUAGAGAUGUUUUCAUCUAAAUAACAUAAAUUAAUUAACAAACUCAAUCUAGGAAGUUAACUAAUUAAGGGUAUAAUCGAGUUCAACGAUUAAGAAAUAACCUGCGAGAAAAAUCCACAUGCUAUUAUUUAUUUAUAACACAAAUUACAAUCCAUCUAUUGGCAACUCAAGUAAUGUUCAAUUUAUUAGUACUCAGACUCCUCAAGUAGCUACAAUUAUAUAGUAUUUUCAUAUUUUUCACUCAAUUCAAAACAAAAAAGUGAAAGUGCAUUGAUAAAAAAAAUUAUCCCAAUAAAAUAUAACAUGUUAAAAUGAUUUAAACAUAAACUUUCUUACCAAGACAAAUUUUCCGCAGUGCUAUUCCCUUGCAUUCUUAGAAAGAAUUGAUACAUUUCUUCAUGUGUUUGCAAUUGCAACGACUCUAUUUUUUCUUCAUAACUACUAUUUUGUUUUGCCAUUUUGCUCUGCUAGUUCUGUAUUAGGGUGUUAGUUACCUUUCCUGCACUUUGAAGCUCAUUCCCAUUUUCUUUUUAUGUAUUUAAUGAAUAUUUCCAUAGUUCAAUCUUGUUUGGAUUAGUCUGCUUGUAAUGUACUAGUAAAUAUCACAAUGACAAGUUGUUAAUUUUCAAGAAAUACGAGGUAGAUUUUAAAAUUGAGAAUGACAAGAAUACAAACCAUUUUCCUAUAACACGAAAGAUAUAUAAAAUCAAAAAAGUAAUUUAAUGAGAUUCAAGGAUUGCAGGCCCUACCAAACAUCACCAAAUUGUCACAUAUUGAGAAAAAAAAAUAUCAAUAGUAGGCACAUAACAUUACCAAAUGCCAUUAACAGAAGGGGGUGUAUUGAUUUAGAUUUUUAUUUUUUAAAUUGAG